RNAcentral lists this ribosomal RNA (200 nucleotides) under uncultured bacterium. RNAcentral describes it as "partial 16S ribosomal RNA". It matches the Rfam family "Bacterial small subunit ribosomal RNA", at positions 29 to 257 of the family's 1533-position model. The record is from RNAcentral.
AACGAACGCUGGCGGCAGGCUUAACACAUGCAAGUCGAACGCCCCGCAAGGGGAGUGGCAGACGGGUGAGUAACGCGUGGGAAUCUACCGUACCCUACGGAAUAACGCAUGGAAACGUGUGCUAAUACCGUAUACGCCCUUAGGGGGAAAGGAUUUAUCGGGGUAUGAUGAGCCCGCGUUGGAUUAGCUAGUUGGUGGGG